GACAGAGGAGGCAAGCGUUGUUCGGAAUCAUUGGGCUUAAAGGGCGUGCAGGCGGCGGCGCAAGUGUCGAGUGAAAUCCCAUCGCUCAACGAUGGAACGGCUCGGCAAACUGCGUCGCUUGAGGUCGGUAGAGGCGCUCGGAACUCUAGGUGGAGCGGUGAAAUGCGUAGAUAUCUAGAGGAACGCCUGAGGCGAAAGCGGGGCACUGGGCCGAUUCUGACGCUGAUACGCGAAAGCGUGGGGAGCAAACAGG
This 253-nucleotide ribosomal RNA is filed under the name uncultured bacterium. Its description in RNAcentral is "partial 16S ribosomal RNA". It matches the Rfam family "Bacterial small subunit ribosomal RNA", at positions 524 to 776 of the family's 1533-position model. The record is from RNAcentral.